RNAcentral lists this ribosomal RNA (426 nucleotides) under uncultured bacterium. RNAcentral's name for it is "bacterial SSU rRNA". It matches the Rfam family "Bacterial small subunit ribosomal RNA", at positions 356 to 773 of the family's 1533-position model. The record is from RNAcentral.
GGGGAAUUUUGCGCAAUGGACGAAAGUCUGACGCAGCGACGCCGCGUGAGUGAAGAAGGCCUUCGGGUUGUAAAGCUCUGUCGAACGGGACGAAAACCUUGUGGGUUAAUAGCCCAUGAGCUUGACGGUACCGUUAGAGGAAGCACCGGCUAACUCCGUGCCAGCAGCCGCGGUAAUACGGAGGGUGCAAGCGUUGCUCGGAAUUAUUGGGCGUAAAGCGUAAGUAGGUUGUCUCAUUAGUCUAAGGUGAAAUCCCUGAGCUUAACUCAGGAACUGCCUUAGAAACGGUGAGACUAGAGUUCUGGAGAGGGUGGCGGAAUUCCCGGUGUAGCGGUGAAAUGCGUAGAGAUCGGGAGGAACAUCAGAGGCGAAGGCGGCUACCUGGACAGACACUGACACUCAAUUACGAAAGCGUGGGGAUCAAAC